AAAAUGUACCGGGGCUAAAACAAUUUACCGAAGCUGUGGAUACCUUUAUAGGUAUGGUAGGAGAGCGUUCUAUGUGUGAUGAAGGUAUACCGUGAGGAGUGCUGGAACGCAUAGAAGUGAGAAUGCCGGUAUGAGUAGCGAAAGACAGGUGAGAAUCCUGUCCACCGUAAGACUAAGGUUUCCAGGGGAAGGCUCGUCCGCCCUGGGUUAGUCGGGACCUAAGGAGAGACCGAAAGGUGUAUCCGAUGGACAACAGGUUGAUAUUCCUGUACUAGAGUAUGUAGUGAUGGAGGGACGCAGUAG
Molecule: ribosomal RNA, 303 nt
Filed under: Klebsiella pneumoniae
Lineage: Bacteria; Pseudomonadati; Pseudomonadota; Gammaproteobacteria; Enterobacterales; Enterobacteriaceae
Description: partial 23S ribosomal RNA
Rfam family: Bacterial large subunit ribosomal RNA
Source: RNAcentral